CCUACGGGUGGCAGCAGUGGGGGAUAUUGCACAAUGGAGGGAACUCUGAUGCAGCGACGCCGCGUGAGGGAAGAAGGUUUUCGGAUUGGAAACCUCUGUCUUCGUUGACGAAACGAGACGGUAGCGGAGGAGGAAGCAAAGUCUAACCACGUGCAUGCAGCCGCGGUAAGACGUAGGUGGCAAGCGUUUUCCGGAAUUACGGGGUUAAAAGGGAGCGUAGGCGGGAAAGCAAGUUGAAUGUUUAAGGUACGGGGUCAACCUGUACACGCUUUCAAAACUGUUUUUCUUGAGUGGAGUAGAGGUAAGCGGAAUUCCUAGUGUAGCGGUGAAAUGCGUAAAUAUUAGGAGGAACACCAGUGGCGAAGGCGGCUUACUGGGCUUUAACUGACGCUGAGGCUCGAAAGCGUGGGUAGCAAACAGGAUUAGAUACCCUAGUAGUC
RNAcentral lists this ribosomal RNA (440 nucleotides) under uncultured bacterium. RNAcentral describes it as "partial 16S ribosomal RNA". It matches the Rfam family "Bacterial small subunit ribosomal RNA", at positions 338 to 795 of the family's 1533-position model. The record is from RNAcentral.